Molecule: ribosomal RNA, 460 nt
Filed under: uncultured bacterium
Lineage: Bacteria
Description: partial 16S ribosomal RNA
Rfam family: Bacterial small subunit ribosomal RNA
Source: RNAcentral
CCUACGGGUGGCAGCAGUGAGGAAUAUUGGUCAAUGGACGAGAGUCUGAACCAGCCAAGUAGCGUGAAGGAUGACUGCCCUAUGGGUUGUAAACUUCUUUUAUAUGGGAAUAAAAUGUUCCACGUGUGGGAUUUUGUAUGUACCAUAUGAAUAAGGAUCGGCUAACUCCGUGCCAGCAGCCGCGGUAAUACGGAGGAUCCGAGCGUUAUCCGGAUUUAUUGGGUUUAAAGUGAGCGUAGGUGGAUUGUUAAGUCAGGUGUGAAAGUUUGCGGCUCAACCGUAAAAUUGCAGUUGAAACUGGCAGUCUUGAGUACAGUAGAGGUGAGCGGAAUUCGUGGUGUAGCGGUGAAAUGCUUAGAUAUCACGAAGAACUCCGAUUGCGAAGGCAGUUCACUGGACUGCAACUGACACUGAGGCUCGAAAGUGUGGGUAUCAAACAGGAUUAGAUACCCUGGUAGUC